GUGUUCUAACCAAUAAUCACCGAUGCGAUGUUCUGUCCGAUCGAUUCAGGAACCAUCUAACGAAUGCCGAAGUGCUUACUGUCUGAAUAAGACUAUACUUUGUGAAAUUCGUUAAGGUUCGAAUCUCGUGACUACCGUUAAGGUUUGAUUUGGGUUUUACACAAAUACGUAUUCCAUUCUGUUAAACUAUAUGUUUAACUACCAAAAAUACUCCCAACUACACACUCACAAUCAAACAAACUAUUAAAUCAUCAGAAGAUCCAGAAUAAUAAAGUGCAUGCUUAAUUAUCGGAAGAAGUAGAAUCAAGAAGCUUGUUAACUCAAUCUUGCAUGCUUAUAAAGUAAUUACAGUAGAUCGGAAUAAGAAUUGGAUCCAGCACUGAAGGACUUCAAGAAGUGGCUUAUUUUAUUAAUUAAAUCAACUUAAGAAAU
This 432-nucleotide long non-coding RNA is filed under the name Helianthus annuus (common sunflower). Lineage: Eukaryota; Viridiplantae; Streptophyta; Magnoliopsida; Asterales; Asteraceae. The record is from RNAcentral.